AACGAACGCUGGCGGCAUGCCUAACACAUGCAAGUCGAACGAGACCUUCGGGUCUAGUGGCGCACGGGUGCGUAACGCGUGGGAACCUGCCCUUAGGUUCGGAAUAACUCCCCGAAAGGGGUGCUAAUACCGGAUAAUGUCUUCGGACCAAAGAUUUAUCGCCUUUGGAUGGGCCCGCGUUGGAUUAGCUAGUUGGUAGGGUAAAAGCCUACCAAGGCGACGAUCCAUAGCUGGUCUGAGAGGAUGAUCAGCCACACUGGGACUGAGACACGGCCCAGACUCCUACGGGAGGUAGCAGUGGGGAAUAUUGGACAAUGGGCGAAAGCCUGAUCCAGCAAUGACGCGUGAGUGAUGAAGGCCUUAGGGUUGUAAAGCUCUUUUACCCGGGAUGAUAAUGACAGUACCGGGAGAAUAAGCUCCGGCUAACUCCGUG
This 433-nucleotide ribosomal RNA is filed under the name uncultured bacterium. RNAcentral describes it as "partial 16S ribosomal RNA". It matches the Rfam family "Bacterial small subunit ribosomal RNA", at positions 29 to 507 of the family's 1533-position model. The record is from RNAcentral.